Non-coding RNA from Oryctolagus cuniculus (rabbit), 7641 nucleotides. NCBI's taxonomy places the organism in Eukaryota, Metazoa, Chordata, Mammalia, Lagomorpha, Leporidae. The record is from RefSeq and is a predicted model, not a curated record.
GGAAGGAGCGGGCUCGCGCGGCCCGGCGUGGGCGCCGUCUGCGGUCGACGCUCAGGCGGAGGAGGAGGGCGCCGCCGCCGCCUGGCCUCUGCCGCGUGGGCGUCGCGCGGCUUCCCGCUCGCGAUGGAGGGAGCGGCUGUGGCCGUCUGCGAGAUUUUGAAAUAUUUAAUAAUUCACUGGACGUGUGAAGCAGGAGUUUCAAAGGGAACAUUGCUAGAAGGGCAGCUAAUGAUUUCCAUAGAAACAUUAAAUUCCAAGCCCCAGGCAAACACUCUUCGCUGUGUAACAACUAUUGCUCCUGCAGGGUGCCUUUAUAGUGGCUUCAUCCUCAAGAAAUUCAUAAAAGGUUUAAGGAUUACUCCCAAAAUGUCCUUACUCAAGUGAAGAAUAAACGAAAAUAAUGAGUUGGAGAAACAUUAUAGGUCCCUUUAUUUUGCUGUUUUUUUCUUAUUUCUGCCACUCAUUUUUUUAAUGUUUAAAAAUAUCUUAUGUUUGACAUAAUUUAAGUCUUUAGCAAAAUACUCUGUGGUCAAUCAUUCUCUUUUACUUCUAUUUAUUUGAGGAGAGAGAGAGUGAGCCCCCAUCCACUGUUUCACCCCCCAAAUGUCUGCAACAGCUGGGAGGGGCCAGACUUGAAGGCCAGGAGCUGAGAACUUAAUCCAGGUCUCCUAUGUGAGUGAUAGGAACUGAAUUACUUAAACUGUCACUGCUGCCUCCCAGGGUCAGCAUUCUAUAUGGAACAUGAGGUUUUUUAUUUGUUUGUUUGUUUGUUUUUAAGAUUUAUGUAUUUAUUUGAAAGGCAGAGCUAGAGAGGAGAGAUCGAGAUCUUCCAUUCACUGGUUCACUGCCCAGAUGGCCGCUGUGGCCAGAGCUCUAUCUGAAACCAGGAGCUCACUGCAGGUCUCCCGCAUUGGUGGUGGGGCCUAAGCAUUUGGGUCACUUUCUGCUGCCUUCCCAGGCACGUCAGCAGGGCUGCUGGAUUGGAAGUAAAGCAGUCGGGAUGCUAACCGGUGCCCAUAUGGGAUGCCACAGGAGGCAAUUUCACCCUCUGUGCCACAAAGCUGGCUCCAAACAUGAGGAUCUUAACUGAUUUCUUAACCACUAGGUUAAACAUCUGUCUCAAUGUUUACCAAAGAAAAUUUAGCCUUUUUUUCCUUCAAAAUGCUAGUCCUCGUAGGUGGGAAGCACUGCUUUGCUGCGGAUGUGAGUUGUGUAGCUGUGUGGUUCUGAGAGACUUUCUGCCUUCUGCCUGUGCUUCACCUUCUGGAUGUCAGGGAGGCUCCCGCCACCCCCAAGGUUAGUUUUGUUCUCUUUGUUAAUUUGCUGGAAAAGGAAGUGAGGAUUAGCGGUUUUCAUGGAUUGGAGAGUUGACAGGCCCAGGCCUGCUCAAUAUUGAGUGAGAAAUGCACCAGUGAACUCUUGAAUAUAUGACUUAAUCAAUUUUUUAAAAAAUCUGAUUAUAAUUUUAUAUAAGAUCAGGAGCUCUAAAGCUCAGAACUUAUCUAAUAUUUUUCCCCCAGGAGCUCAUUUUGUAGACAUGAUCUCAUUCAUUCUUGAGAGUUAGCAGAUGAAGUGUCAGCACCAUUGCUGUUUCAGGUGGCAAGAAGCAGGCUUAACUUCAGCCUCAUAUACUAAGUGUAGAAGUGGGGGAGAUUUUGUGGACUUAUCGGUCACUGCUUACCUAUUAAACCCUGUAAGACCACACUUAACUUCCCAAGCUUCUGAUACAUUCGAAACAGUCUUUUGCUGCUAAAUUUGCCUAACACUUGGUAGGUUUUAUACAAAUUGAGGAUCAAGAAAAGCUAAAAAAAAAGGGGGGGGUGUGCUAUCUUCUUUUUUCUCCAGUAUUUUUUUAGCUCUUUUCCCUGUUACAUUUGUUGAAGUGCACUUCACUAGCGAGCUCAUGUUCAAGAUUUGGUGUGACAGCGAAGGGGAUGGAAAAGGUAGACAUUGUUUAUACUCAGUUAUGGCAUAUUCUUUUUCCUUUUGAAGUUGGAUAGGCAAAAGAGGAAUGAAGUAACAGUUCUCAUUGUUAGAGAUGGCUUGUACCCUGGCUGAGUGGUAUGUAACUCCUAGUAUUUAGCAGUCAGUGGAAACUAGCCUGCAGGAACCUGUGUUGACUUAAAAUCCUUGAACUGUUGUUAAUACCUUGUUGAGUAAUCACCUGGGCACUUAACUGCUCCAGCUCUGGCCUUUUGGGUUAUCACAUACUUUUCAUCUUCUAAGCUGGGAACACAGGAGGAGGAGUUGGCUGCCUAAAGUAAUGAAUUUGGCUGAUACAGGAAGACAGAACACUGUGUUUUUCCUGAGUAGACUUUUUGUGUGUGUGCUGAUUUUUUUUUCAAGGAUUUAUUUAUUUAUUUGAAAGGCAGAGUGACAAGGAGGGAGAGAGAAUCUUGCAUGCACUGGUUCACUCCCCAGAUGGCCACAAUAGCCAGUUUUGGGCUAGGCCAAAGCUGUGAUCCAGUGACUCCAUCCUGGUCUCCCGCAUGAGGGGCAGGAGCCCAAGUCCUUGGGCCACCUUCUGUGCUGCCUUUCCAGGCACAUUAGUGGGAGUCUAGAUUGGAAGGAGAGCAGCUGGGACUUGGACUGACAGUCCAGUGUGGGAUGCAAGCAUUGCAAGUCAUGGCUUAACCCCCUGUGCCACAAUGCCAGCCUCUGUGCUGAAUUUUCAUGAAUAUUCCUUGAAUCUGUUCUCUUUUCUCCAUUUUUAUCACUGUCUUGGUUCAGAAUCUCAUCAUUCUUGCCUGCAGUAUUUUCCUGAUUGGAAGUUUACACCAGGUUUGGUAAGCAAGGUUGGUCACACACACUCGCCUGGACUGCACAGCUCCCUUUUUUAGUUGGCCUUAGCUUUGGUGAGUGCCCCUGACUUGGCUUGAGUGCAUUGGCUUGAGCCUGCCAAUGGGUACAGCUGGUCAGGCACACCUGUCUGAGCUAUACAGUUCCCUUCUCCGGUCUGCUCUGGCUUUGGUGAAUGCCCAGGACUCUGACUCCCCAGAAAUCUGAGCCCACUCUGACUUUGCUGAGUACAAGUGGCAGUUUACACAUGCUCUGAACUUGGCCUGGCACCGCCAUAGCCCCUACCACCACCAGUGAGAUCCACACACCCCUACUGGUACUGAGAGGAAUCCCCCAUGCCCCUAUUGCCAUUGCCAUGAUUAACAAUGGCAGAAGGAGCCAGUGUUGUGACAUAGUGGGUAAAACUGCUGCCUGGAUUGCUGGCAUCUCAUGUGGGCACCCGUCUGUGUCCCUGCUGUUCCAGUUCUGAUCCAGCCCCUUGCAAUAGCCUGGGAAAGGCAGUGGAAUAUGUCCCAAGUGUUUGAGCCCCUGAGACACACAUGGGAGACCCAGAUGAUGCUCCUGGCUUCAGCCUGGCCCAGCACUGGCAGCUGCACUGGGAAUGAACCAGUGGAUGGACAAUCUCUCCCUCUCUGUAACGUUGACUUUCAAAUAAAUAAAUUUUUAAAAAAAAGUUGCAGAAGACAUAGAGAAGCUACACCCAACCCUUCAACUGCAACUAGAGCCAUGAAAGCCACCUCUUAAAAGUGAUAGACAACUGAUCUGCCAGUUGUAUAAAUAUCAACACAAGCAGCAUGAAAGAGACAGUACGACAUCUCAAACCCAAUAACACUCUGACCACACAGAAAGAGAAAUUGAUGAAAUGACUGUAAAGAAGUAAAAAGAACAAUCCUGAGGAUACUCAAAGAUAUAUAAGAGAAUAUGUACAGUUAAGUGAAAUUAGGAAAGCAAUGCAUGAUAUGAAUGAGAAAUUCAACAGUGAUACGGAGAUCUUGGAAAAGAACCAAACAAAUCUUAGAAAUUAAGAAUCUAAGUCAAAAAGUACAAGCAAAAGAAAACAUCUGAAUUUCAAAGCUAGUCUUUUGAACUAUGUCCCCCAAAAAUGAAAGAUAGAAGUAGAAAAUGAAUGAAUGUAGCCUCCAAGAUCUUUGGGACAUUAGUGAAUGAGCUAAUACGUGAAAGAUGGAAAUUCCUGGGGAAGCAGAGGAGAACAGAGCAUGGAAGCCUAUUCAGUGAAGUAAUAGCUGAAUAAUUUUCCAGUUUGGUGAACAAUAUGGACAUUUAUGUACAGGAGAUCCAUGGAACCCCUAAUAGAUAGGAACAGAAAAGAUCCUCACCAUGACGCAUGAUGGUCAAACUCUCAAAAAUACAGCGCAAAGAGGGAAUUCUAAAAUCUGCAAGAUAAAAAUGCCAGAUCACUUUUAAGGAGACCUUCAUUAGAAUAAUAGGUUUUCCAUUAAAAACCUUGGCGGGGGUCACCAGCUUCGUGGCACAACAGGUUAAAGCCCCAGCCUGCAGCACUAGCAUCCCAUAUGGGUGCCGGUUCAUGUCCCAGCUGCUCCACUUCCAAUCCAGCUCUCUGCUGUGGCCUGGGAAAGCAGCAGAGGAUGGCUCAACCCUUUUGGUCCCUUCUUCCAUAUGAGAGACCCGGAAGAAGCUCCCAGCUCCUAGCUUUAGAUCAGCUCAGCUCUGGCCGUUGCAGCCAUUGGGGAGUAAACUAGCAGAUGGAAGACCUCUCUCUUUUGCUCUCGCUCUCUGUGCAUCUCUACCUCUUUCUCUAACUCUUUCAAAUAAAUAAAACAAAUCUUUAAAUAAAAAUGUAUAUGCACCUGGGGUCCGCAUUGUGGUGUGCCAAUGCUGGCAUCUCAUAUGGCUCUGGCUUGAGUCUUGGCUGCUCCACUUCCAAUACAGCUCCCUGCAAAUGGCCUGGGAAAAGCAGCAGAAGAUAGCCCAAGUGCUUGGGCCCCUGCCACCCACUUGGAGGACCCAGAAGAAGCUCCUGGCUUUGGCCUGGCCCAGUUCUGGCCAUUGCAGCCAUAUGGAGAGUGAACCAGUGGAUGGAAGAUCUCUCUCUGUCUUUCUCUAUAACUCUGACUUGCAAAUAAAUAUUUUUUUUUAAAAAGUAUAUGCAGCUAAUGCCAGAGCACCCAAUUUUAUAAAAUAAACAGUACUAUAUCUUAAAGGAGAGAUAAGCUUUAGUACAACAAUCGGGAGUUCAACAUCCCAACUGCAUCAGUGGACAGAUCAUCCAGACCAAAAAAAAAUAAUAAUAAAUAAAAAAUAUUGGAGUUAAACCACACUAUAGCACAAAUGGAACUAAGACAUUUAUAGAACAUUCCAUUCAAUAGCUACAACAUACAUAUUCUUUUCUAGGAUAGACUGUAAAUUGGGCCACAAAACAAGUCUCAAUACAUUGUAAAACAUGGAAAGAAUAUCAUGUAUCUUUUUUUGGCCCCAGUGGAACAAAACUAGAAAUCAACAAAAGAAUCUCUAGCAUUCACACAAAAGGCAGGGGCUGUGGUGUAGUGGGUAAAGGUGCUACCUACAGUGCCGGCAUCCCAUAUGGGUGCCGGUUCAAGUCCUAGCUGUUCCACUUCCAGUCUAGCUCUUGCUAUGGCCUGGGAAAGCAGUGGAAGAUGGCCCAAGUCCUUGGGCCCCUGCACCUGCUUGGAAAACCUGAAAGAAGCUCCUGGCUCCUGGCUUCGGAUUGUCUCAGCUCCGGGCAUUGCGGACAUUUGGGGAGUGAACCAGCGGAUGGAAGGCCUCUUUCUCUCUACUUCUGCCUCUCUGCAACUCUGCCUUUCAAGUAAUAAAUAAAUACAUAUUUUUAAAAAAUUACACAAAUAUGAACAGACUGAACAAUAUCCUCCCGAACGAACAAUGGGUCAUUGAAGAAAUCAAAAGGGAAAUUUAAAAAUUACUGAAACAGGGACAAGUGUUUGGUCUUAGUAGUUAAAACACCAGUCUGCAUCCCAUGUUGGAAUACCUGGCUUGGUUUUUUUUUGUUUUGUUUUGUUUUGUUUUGUUUUGUUUUGUUUUUAGGAUUUAUUUUAUAUAUUUGACAGAGUACAGAGAGAGGUACACACGCACACACACACACACACAGAGGUCUUCUAUCUGCUGAUUCACUCCCCAGAUGGCUGCAACGGCUGGAGCUGCACCAGUCCGAAGCCAGGAGCUUCUUCUGGGUCUCCCACAUGGGUGCAGGGACCCAAACAUUUGGGCAAUCUUCCACUGCUUUCCCAGGCCGUAGCAGAGCGCUGGAUGGGAAGUGGAGUAGCUGGCGCCCAUAAGGGAUGCCGGUACUGUAGGCAGCAGCUUUAACUGGCUGCAUCGCAGCGCUGGCCCCUGAAGACCUGGUUUUAAUUCCUAGCUCCAGCUCCUGAGUCUAGCUUUCUGCUAAUGUGGUCCCUUCCCACACUGGUGAUGGCGCAGGCAGUGGGAUUCCUGCCACUCGUGUGGGAGACCUGGAUUGAGUUCCUGACUCUCAGGUUUGGCUGUAGCCCAGGGAUGUUGUAGGCAUUUGGGGAGUGAACCAGUGCGUGGGAGCACCCUCUUCCUGUCUGUCCCUCUCUCAAAUAAUAAAUAAACUUAAAACUUCCUUGAAGCAAACAAAAAGGUAAACAACAUGCCUAAACUCAUGGGAUAUAGCAAAGCAGUACUAGGAAGUUUGUAGCAAUAAGCACCUAUAUAAAAAAACAGAGAGGUGGGCCUUUUGGCACAGCAGGUUAGCCUGCGCUUGGGAAACCCCCAUUCCAUAUCACACUCCCUGUCCAAAUCCCGACUUCUGAUCCAGCUUGCUGCUGAUGCCAUCCUGGGAGGUAGCAGGUGAUAACACAAGUACUUGGGUCCCCGCUACCCAUGUGAAAAACCUGGAUAGAGUUCCAGGUUCCUGGCUUUAGCCUGGUCAGAUAAUGUGGGAGACCAGGAUGCAGAUUCUGACUCCUGGCUUUGGCCUGGCCAGGACCUAGUUGUUGAGGCCAUUUGGGAAGUGAACCAGCAGAUGGAAGAUUUUUUUUCUCUCUCUCUUGCUCUUCUGUCUUUAAAAUAUAGAAAAUGAACCAUAAAAAAAGAUAAAUGGUCAAAGAUCUGAAUGGAUGUUUCUCAAAAGAAGAAUACAAAUGACCAACAAAUACAUGAAAAAAUGCUCAUUAUCACUAUCCAUUAGGGAAAUGCAAAUUAAAACCACAGUGAAAUAUCUCACUCCAGUUCGAAUGGCUAUUAUCAAAGACAGUAACAAAUACUGGUGAAGAUGUGGAGGAAAGGGAACCCUGAACACUGUUGGUGGGAAUGAGCACAGCCCUUCUGGGGAACAGUAUGGCAGUUCCUCAAAAAACUUAAAAUAGAUCUACCAUAUGGUAUCCCACUUCUGGGUGUAUGUUCGAAGGAAAUGAAAUCAGCAUAUGAAAGACGCCUGCUCCCCCAUGUUCACUGCAGCACUGUGCACAGUAAAGAUACGGAAUUAACCUAGCUGUCUAUUAAUGGAUAAGUGGAUAAAGAGAGUGUGGUUUAUGUACAGUGGGGUGUUAUUCAGCCGUAAAAAAUAAAAUUCUGUUAUUUUCAGCAAGAUGAGUGGAACUAUAGAUCAUUAUGGUAAAUGAUAUCAGAUACAGAAAAAUGAAUACCACAUGUUCUCUCUCAUCUGUGGAAAUUAAAAAAAAAAAACAGAUCUGAACUUAGAAGAAUGACUGUUGGAUACUGGGAAGGGGAGGGGGCUUGAGAGAGUUUGGAUAGGAGGUAUGAAAAACAAGUGGGGCCAGUGCUCUGGCAUAGCGGGUAAGGCCAACGCCUGCAGUGCUGGCAUCCCAUAUGGGCACCAGUUUGAGCCCCAGCUGCUCCACU